UACGUAGGUGGCAAGCGUUAUCCGGAAUUACUGGGCGUAAAGCGCACGCAGGCGGUCUUUUAAGUUUGACGUGAAAGCUCCCGGCUUAACUGGGAGAGGUCGUUGAAUACUGGAAGACUUGAGGAAAUGAGAGGGGUGUAGAAUUCCUGGUGUAGUGGUGGAAUGCGUAGAUAUCAGGAGGAAUACCAGUGGCGAAAGCGGCACCUUAGCAUUUUUCUGACGCUCAUGUGCGAAAGCGUGGGGAGCGAACGGG
This 253-nucleotide ribosomal RNA is filed under the name uncultured bacterium. Its description in RNAcentral is "partial 16S ribosomal RNA". It matches the Rfam family "Bacterial small subunit ribosomal RNA", at positions 524 to 776 of the family's 1533-position model. The record is from RNAcentral.